CCUGGUGGGUUACAGUCCAUAGGGUCACAAAGAGUCAGACACAACUGAAGCAACUUAGCACUCAUGCACAUAAGAUACAUACCAUUAUUUUUCUCAUCUUGCUUAGGAGAAAAAGGAAGCCUAGAGGUGUUAAGACUACGAAGCUGGCACCUCAUUGGAGGGUCCCUCAGCAUAGUUCUAAGUCAGCUCCAUCUUAUCCAUCUUUGCCUGUGCCUGGCACAUAGGAGAUUCAGUAAAUAUCCAUGGAGUGGAUGACUGGGUAGCUGCAGACACGGCAGUGGAAGUGAGAAGACACCUGUUGUCCUGGGAAGUGUGCCUGGAUAAGACCUCCAGCUUAUCUACCCUGCAGAGCUUGUCCCUCAUCUCAGUCAUGGGAUGAGAUUGCUGGUCCCUGGCUCCCCUUGAGGGAAAAGCUACAUGGUUUUCAGGGAGCUAAUGCCUCCCACUGCCAACUCAGCCCCACCUACAGGUACCUGAGAAAACUCCGAAUGUAAAUUUUAAAUUAAAAAAUGGUGUGUAUACCACUUACA
This is a long non-coding RNA of Bubalus bubalis (water buffalo), 530 nucleotides long. RefSeq lists it as uncharacterized. Lineage: Eukaryota; Metazoa; Chordata; Mammalia; Artiodactyla; Bovidae. The record is from RefSeq and is a predicted model, not a curated record. The transcript is spliced from 2 exons.